ACAGGUGCAGCAGUUCCAGGACGUGGCCACCCGUCUGCAGACAGCAUAUGCUGGGGAGAAGGCAGAGGCCAUCCAGAACAAGGAGCAGGAGGUGUCUGCCGCGUGGCAGGCGCUGCUCGAUGCCUGUGCCGGGCGCCGGACCCAGCUAGUGGACACGGCGGAUAAAUUCCGCUUCUUCAGCAUGGCCCGUGACCUCCUCUCCUGGAUGGAGAGCAUCAUCCGGCAGAUCGAGACCCAGGAGAGGCCCAGGGAUGUCUCCUCUGUGGAACUGCUCAUGAAGUAUCACCAGGGCAUCAAUGCAGAGAUUGAAACCCGGAGCAAGAACUUCAGUGCCUGCCUGGAGCUUGGCGAGUCCCUGCUGCAGCGGCAGCACCAGGCCUCAGAGGAGG
Molecule: long non-coding RNA, 389 nt
Filed under: Pan troglodytes (chimpanzee)
Lineage: Eukaryota; Metazoa; Chordata; Mammalia; Primates; Hominidae
Description: long non-coding RNA NONPTRT005101
Source: RNAcentral